GCAGUGAGCAGCAAUUUCCUAGCGGGGGCU
Molecule: small RNA, 30 nt
Filed under: Bombyx mori (domestic silkworm)
Lineage: Eukaryota; Metazoa; Arthropoda; Insecta; Lepidoptera; Bombycidae
Description: ovarian small RNA-16516
Source: RNAcentral